GGCUGGUCCGAUGGUAGUGGGUUAUCAGAACUUAUUAAAAUUAGUGUCACUAAAGUUGGUAUACAACUACCACAGCUAAAUUUGACUAGCUUUAC
Molecule: Y RNA, 95 nt
Filed under: Microcebus murinus (gray mouse lemur)
Lineage: Eukaryota; Metazoa; Chordata; Mammalia; Primates; Cheirogaleidae
Description: Y RNA (ENSMICG00000047383.1)
Rfam family: Y RNA
About the family: Y RNAs are components of the Ro ribonucleoprotein particle (Ro RNP), in association with Ro60 and La proteins. The Y RNAs and Ro60 and La proteins are well conserved, but the function of the Ro RNP is not known. In humans the RNA component can be one of four small RNAs -- hY1, hY3, hY4 and hY5.
Source: Rfam by way of RNAcentral